GCCUAGGAAUCUGCCUGGUAGUGGGGGACAACGUUUCGAAAGGAACGCUAAUACCGCAUACGUCCUACGGGAGAAAGCAGGGGACCUUCGGGCCUUGCGCUAUCAGAUGAGCCUAGGUCGGAUUAGCUAGUUGGUGAGGUAAUGGCUCACCAAGGCGACGAUCCGUAACUGGUCUGAGAGGAUGAUCAGUCACACUGGAACUGAGACACGGUCCAGACUCCUACGGGAGGCAGCAGUGGGGAAUAUUGGACAAUGGGCGAAAGCCUGAUCCAGCCAUGCCGCGUGUGUGAAGAAGGUCUUCGGAUUGUAAAGCACUUUAAGUUGGGAGGAAGGGCAGUAAAUUAAUACUUUGCUGUUUUGACGUUACCG
Molecule: ribosomal RNA, 369 nt
Filed under: Pseudomonas sp.
Lineage: Bacteria; Pseudomonadati; Pseudomonadota; Gammaproteobacteria; Pseudomonadales; Pseudomonadaceae
Description: bacterial SSU rRNA
Rfam family: Bacterial small subunit ribosomal RNA
Source: RNAcentral